RNAcentral lists this ribosomal RNA (495 nucleotides) under uncultured bacterium. RNAcentral's name for it is "partial 16S ribosomal RNA". It matches the Rfam family "Bacterial small subunit ribosomal RNA", at positions 28 to 506 of the family's 1533-position model. The record is from RNAcentral.
GAUGAACGCUGGCGGCGUGCCUAAUACAUGCAAGUCGAGCGAACAGACGAGGGGCUUGCUCCUCUGACGUUAGCGGCGGACGGGUGAGUAACACGUGGAUAACCUACCUAUAAGACUGGGAUAACUUCGGGAAACCGGAGCUAAUACCGGAUAAUAUAUUGAACCGCAUGGUUCAAUAGUGAAAGACGGUUUUGCUGUCACUUAUAGAUGGAUCCGCGCCGCAUUAGCUAGUUGGUAGGUAACGGCUUACCAAGGCAACGAUGCGUAGCCGACCUGAGAGGGUGAUCGGCCACACUGGAACUGAGACACGGUCCAGACUCCUACGGGAGGCAGCAGUAGGGAAUCUUCCGCAAUGGGCGAAGGCCUGACGGAGCAACGCCGCGUGAGUGAUGAAGGUCUUCGGAUCGUAAAACUCUGUUAUUAGGGAAGAACAAAUGUGUAAGUAACUAUGCACGUCUUGACGGUACCUAAUCAGAAAGCCACGGCUAACUACGU